GGGGUCUGCCUCUCACAACAGUAUGUCUGCUCCUAGACACCUCAACUCCUCCUGUCUCCCUUGAGUUACAUGGACCUCCUUUAAGCCAUGAAGUCCUGGGUUUGUUUCUGUGAGCAUCAAAGGACGGAUGGAGAGACUAACCUGACUUCAGCUGCCAUCCUCCACUGAGAGCUGAUGGCGACUUGUCCAGGAUGCCCUCCGCAGCCUGCCCGAUGUCAGCUGUGAUCUGCUCCAAUAUGAUUACAAACGCUGAAACAGGCAUGCUAAGCCAAUAGGUGUCAAUAAAGUCUUCAUCGCCGACACAGCAAAAACCCAGA
Molecule: long non-coding RNA, 317 nt
Organism: Acanthopagrus latus (yellowfin seabream)
Lineage: Eukaryota; Metazoa; Chordata; Actinopteri; Spariformes; Sparidae
Exons: 3
Source: RefSeq, a predicted model, not a curated record